UACGUAGGUGACAAGCGUUGUCCGGAUUUACUGGGCGUAAAGAGCGCGCAGGCGGUCGAUCAAGUCGAGUGUGAAAGCCCCCGGCUCAACUGGGGAGGGUCAUUCGAUACUGAUCGACUCGAAGGCAGGAGAGGGUAGUGGAAUUCCCGGUGUAGUGGUGAAAUGCGUAGAUAUCGGGAGGAACACCAGUGGCGAAGGCGGAUCUCUGGGCCUUACCUGACGCUGAGGCGCGAAAGCUAGGGGAGCAAACAGG
This 253-nucleotide ribosomal RNA is filed under the name uncultured bacterium. Its description in RNAcentral is "partial 16S ribosomal RNA". It matches the Rfam family "Bacterial small subunit ribosomal RNA", at positions 524 to 776 of the family's 1533-position model. The record is from RNAcentral.